AGAACGAACGCUGGCGGCAGGCUUAACACAUGCAAGUCGAGCGCCCCGCAAGGGGAGCGGCAGACGGGUGAGUAACGCGUGGGAACAUACCCUCCGGUUCGGAAUAGCUCAGGGAAACUUGGAUUAAUACCGGAUACGGUCGAGAGGCGAAAGAUUUAUCGCCGGAGGAUUGGCCCGCGUUCGAUUAGCUAGUUGGUGAGGUAACGGCUCACCAAGGCGACGAUCGAUAGCUGGUCUGAGAGGAUGAUCAGCCACAUUGGGACUGAGACACGGCCCAAACUCCUACGGGAGGCAGCAGUGGGGAAUAUUGGACAAUGGGCGCAAGCCUGAUCCAGCAAUGCCGCGUGAGUGAUGAAGGCCUUAGGGUUGUAAAGCUCUUUCGCCCGCGACGAUGAUGACGGUAGCGGGAGAAGGAAGCCCCGGCUAACUUCGUGCCAGCAGCCGC
Molecule: ribosomal RNA, 445 nt
Filed under: uncultured bacterium
Lineage: Bacteria
Description: SSU rRNA
Rfam family: Bacterial small subunit ribosomal RNA
Source: RNAcentral